CAAGAAUUGCAAUUCAAUAAGAACUAUAAUGCUUCUACUGUGAGAGUAUUUGCACCUGACAGUGCUAUCUAUGUCAGGAACUAUGUUUCUGGGCCUAAAUGGAUACCUGCAAAAGUACUUGUGGCCACAAGACCUUUGUCAUACAAAGUACAAAUUCCUGAUGGUAGAAUAUUACGAAGGCAUGUCGAUCAGAUUCGGGAACGGAGUGAUGAGAUUGUGCCUGCUGCCGGUCCCAGUCAUACUGGGUUUUCUGUGAUACCAGAUGAUGUUGAACCACUGGAUGAUACAAGUCUCAGUUCUCCAGGAGUUGUUGUUGAA
Pelobates cultripes (western spadefoot toad) is the source of this 318-nucleotide non-coding RNA. Lineage: Eukaryota; Metazoa; Chordata; Amphibia; Anura; Pelobatidae. The record is from the annotation of a GenBank genome assembly.